AGUGAACGCUGGCGGUAGGCCUAACACAUGCAAGUCGAACGGCAGCACAGUAAGAGCUUGCUCUUACGGGUGGCGAGUGGCGGACGGGUGAGGAAUACAUCGGAAUCUACUUUUUCGUGGGGGAUAACGUAGGGAAACUUACGCUAAUACCGCAUACGACCUACGGGUGAAAGCAGGGGAUCUUCGGACCUUGCGCGAUUGAAUGAGCCGAUGUUGGAUUAGCUAGUUGGCGGGGUAAAGGCCCACCAAGGCGACGAUCCGUAGCUGGUCUGAGAGGAUGAUCAGCCACACUGGAACUGAGACACGGUCCAGACUCCUACGGGAGGCAGCAGUGGGGAAUACUGGACAAUGGGCGCAAGCCUGAUCCAGCCAUACCGCGUGGGUGAAGAAGGCCUUCGGGUUGUAAAGCCCUUUUGUUGGGAAAGAAAAGCAGCAGGUUAAUACCCCGCUGUUCUGACGGUACCCAAAGAAUAAGCACCGGCUAACUUCGUG
RNAcentral lists this ribosomal RNA (492 nucleotides) under uncultured bacterium. RNAcentral's name for it is "partial 16S ribosomal RNA". It matches the Rfam family "Bacterial small subunit ribosomal RNA", at positions 29 to 507 of the family's 1533-position model. The record is from RNAcentral.